GUGGGUAUAGUUCAGUUGGUUAGAGCGCCAGAUUGUGGAUCUGGAAGUCGUCGGUUCAAGUCCGAUUACCCACCCCA
This 77-nucleotide transfer RNA is filed under the name Papillibacter cinnamivorans DSM 12816. RNAcentral's name for it is "tRNA_His_GTG". It matches the Rfam family "tRNA". From Rfam's summary of the family: Transfer RNA (tRNA) molecules are approximately 80 nucleotides in length. Their secondary structure includes four short double-helical elements and three loops (D, anti-codon, and T loops). Lineage: Bacteria; Bacillati; Bacillota; Clostridia; Eubacteriales; Oscillospiraceae. The record is from RNAcentral.